CUCACUGCGUGUGGUUGGUGGCUGGAUGGAGUAGUUUCACCUGGUCUGAGACUCUGAGGCUGGGCGAGGCUGCACACCUGUUGUUAAUUAAUCAAUCAUCCCCACACACUCUCAGGUAGGGAUCUCCUACAUGGUAGCAUGGAUCACCAUGUGUGUAUGUUUAAUGUCCUCAAACUUUGCAAUUAACCGGUUUCACCACUAUUAUCAUCAUCUUCAUAAGCAGCAACGAACAUUGCUAAACUCACAAACUUAGGGACUGAGGCACGCGGUAGUAUUUACUAUUUUGCACAUAGUAUUUGGAGUUUUUCACUUGUGGAGGAAUGGACUUCAACUUCACGAUUUGUGUGGACAAGCUCAGCGCUGGAGGGUCCUGGGACCACACAGCAGCGCAGGGCUCAGACACAAACAGCAGAGGUCACCCGGAAACAUGGCGCUUUACUUCCCUGCUCUACAAGGAAGACGAGCGGAUCCUCUUCGUGGCGAAAGAAGGAAAGCUGAAUACAAUCUGUUCCUCGAAUCCCAAGCCUUUGUAUAAUUAUGAAUUAUGAAUGCAUACUAACAUUUCACAAGGCACACUGCAAUGCCGAUCAUCAAUAUCCAUCAUCAACCUAAAGAUUCACAUGAAAUUUAAUUCACAUAUUUUAGCUUGAAGUGAAUGGCAUGAAUUAUUGGAUUAUGUGAUUAAUGUACCAGAAACCAUUCAUCCUUGCUUUGGCAUCCGAUGCACUAUAGCCUUACCGUUGACGUUUAUCUGAAGACUGUAAUAUCAAACCAGACACACUGGUAGACAACUGUUCCUUCUGAGUGGAGCUUCUUACAAAGAACCUCUUUCGCAUCCCACUGCUUCAUCUAUCAACCACCGGCUUCCAUUGGGUCAUCCAUUGAUUUAGGAAACGGCUAGCAGUCUAUAAAUCACUAGAAGGCCCAGGGCCUGCAUAUGCUCCUGACAUGCUGCUAGCAUAUGAACUGUUUAGCUCUCUGAGGUCAUUCAGGAGCGUUCCUCCAGAAUACAUACAACACAGCGGCCUCAGCAGAAGGUAGCUUUUAAGUUGUUCAAGUCUGGAGUUCACUCUAAAUCGACUUUGACUGACUACUACAUUAUAUUUGGCUAAUUGAGUCAUUCUAUAUAUAUCUGGCUUUGAUGGCCUCCUCCUAUAGCAUUAUCAUGCAAACUGAUUCAGGGAAAAUUCCAUGCAAAAGAUAGAUCUAUAAACCACACAAUUAAUCACUGUGUGGCUUUUAUCUGGAUUUUUAUUGGUAGUUGAGUAGUUAGUGGAUCGGUUUAUGAAAAUGCACCGCAAUAUAUUCAAGAAUGUGCUAAUUAUGCAUAUAGGGAAUCGGGCAUUCAGUAGAGUGAUCGUUAAAAAAGAUACGGCUAAUCAGGGCUAAUGU
Long non-coding RNA from Gadus chalcogrammus (walleye pollock), 1392 nucleotides. RefSeq lists it as uncharacterized. The transcript has 3 exons. Lineage: Eukaryota; Metazoa; Chordata; Actinopteri; Gadiformes; Gadidae. The record is from RefSeq and is a predicted model, not a curated record.